UGCAUGGCUGUCGUCAGGCUCGUGUCGUGAGAUGUUGGGUUAAGUCCCGGUAACCGAGCGCAACCCUUGUCCUUAGUUACCAGCACGUUAUGGUGGGCGACUCUAAGGAGACUGCCGGUGACAAACCGGAGGAAGGUGGGGAUGACGUCAAGUCAUCAUGGCCCUUACGGCCUGGGCUACACACGUGCUACAAUGGUCGGUACAAAGGGUCGCCAAGCCGCGAGGUGGAGCUAAUCCCAUAAAACCGAUCGUAGUCCGGAUCGCAGUCUGCAACUCGACUGCGUGAAGUCGGAAUCGCUAGUAAUCGUGAAUCAGAAUGUCACGGUGAAUACGUUCCCGGGCCUU
RNAcentral lists this ribosomal RNA (345 nucleotides) under uncultured Pseudomonas sp. RNAcentral describes it as "bacterial SSU rRNA". It matches the Rfam family "Bacterial small subunit ribosomal RNA", at positions 1042 to 1382 of the family's 1533-position model. Lineage: Bacteria; Pseudomonadati; Pseudomonadota; Gammaproteobacteria; Pseudomonadales; Pseudomonadaceae. The record is from RNAcentral.